GAUGAACGCUGGCGGCGUGCCUAAUACAUGCAAGUCGAGCGAACGGACGAGAAGCUUGCUUCUCUGAUUUUAGCGGCGGACGGGUGAUUAACACGUGGAUAACCUACCUAUAAGACUGGGAUAACUUCGGGAAACCGUAUCUAAUACCGGAUAAUAUUUUGAACCUCAUGGUUCAAAAGUUAAAGUCGGUCUUUCUGUCACUUAUAGAUUGAUCCGCGCUGCAUUAGCUAGUUGGUAAGGUAACGGCUUACCAAGGCAACGAUGCAUAGCCGACCUGAGAGGGUGAUCGGACAGACUGGAACAGAGAAACGGUACAGACUCCUACGGGGAGCCGCAGUAGGGAAUCCUACGCAAUGGGGGAAAGCCUGACGGAGCAACGCCGCGUGAGUGAUGAAGGUCCUCGGAUCGUAAAACUCUGUUAUUAGGGAAGAACAUAUGUGUAAGUACCUGUGCACAUAUUGACGGUACCUAAUCAGAAAGCCACGGCUAACUACGUG
This 497-nucleotide ribosomal RNA is filed under the name uncultured bacterium. RNAcentral's name for it is "partial 16S ribosomal RNA". It matches the Rfam family "Bacterial small subunit ribosomal RNA", at positions 28 to 507 of the family's 1533-position model. The record is from RNAcentral.